RNAcentral lists this ribosomal RNA (346 nucleotides) under uncultured bacterium. Its description in RNAcentral is "bacterial SSU rRNA". It matches the Rfam family "Bacterial small subunit ribosomal RNA", at positions 29 to 288 of the family's 1533-position model. The record is from RNAcentral.
ACGAACGCUGGCGGCGUGCCUAACACAUGCAAGUCGAACGGUUCAGGAGGCAAGAAACGAGAAGCGCGAGGCAAGAGAACAAGAGGGAUUGGUUUUUGGCCAAUUUCAGCUAAGGAGAUUUGCUUCAUGCGUCUGGUUUCUUGUCUCCUGGAUAGUGGCGGACGGGUGAGUAACGCGUGGGUAACCUGCCUAUCAGAAAGGGAUAACACCGGGAAGCUGGUGUUAAUACCAGAUACGCUUUAGAGGAGGCAUCUUCUUUAAAGGAAAGGACAACCGCUGAUAGAUGGGCCCGCGUCCCAUUAGCUAGUUGGUAGGUAGAGGCCUACCAAGGCGACGAUGGGUAGCC